This 512-nucleotide ribosomal RNA is filed under the name uncultured bacterium. Its description in RNAcentral is "partial 16S ribosomal RNA". It matches the Rfam family "Bacterial small subunit ribosomal RNA", at positions 28 to 507 of the family's 1533-position model. The record is from RNAcentral.
GACGAACGCUGGCGGCGUGCCUAAUACAUGCAAGUCGAGCGAGCGGAACUAACAGAUUUACCUCGGUAAUGACGCUAGGAAAGCGAGCGGCGGAUGGGUGAGUAACACGUGGGGAACCUGCCCCAUAGUCUGGGAUACCACUUGGAAACAGGUGCUAAUACCGGAUAAGAAAGCAGAUCGCAUGAUCAGCUUUUAAAAGGCGGCGUAAGCUGUCGCUAUGGGAUGGCCCCGCGGUGCAUUAGCUAGUUGGUAAGGUAAAGGCUUACCAAGGCGAUGAUGCAUAGCCGAGUUGAGGGACUGAUCGGCCCCAUUGGGACUGGGACACGGCCCAAACUCCUACGGGAGGCAGCAGUAGGGAAUCUUCCACAAUGGACGCAAGUCUGAUGGAGCAACGCCGCGUGAGUGAAGAAGGUUUUCGGAUCGUAAAGCUCUGUUGUUGGUGAAGAAGGAUAGAGGUAGUAACUGGCCUUUAUUUGACGGUAAUCAACCAGAAAGUGACGGCUAACUACGUG